UUAAGCGACUAAGCGUACACGGUGGAUGCCCUGGCAGUCAGAGGCGAUGAAGGACGUGCUAAUCUGCGAUAAGCGUCGGUAAGGUGAUAUGAACCGUUAUAACCGGCGAUUUCCGAAUGGGGAAACCCAGUGUGUUUCGACACACUAUCAUUAACUGAAUCCAUAGGUUAAUGAGGCGAACCGGGGGAACUGAAACAUCUAAGUACCCCGAGGAAAAGAAAUCAACCGAGAUUCCCCCAGUAGCGGCGAGCGAACGGGGAGCAGCCCAGAGCCUGAAUCAGUGUGUGUGUUAGUGGAAGCGUCUGGAAAGGCGCGCGAUACAGGGUGACAGCCCCGUACACAAAAAUGCACAUGCUGUGAGCUCGAUGAGUAGGGCGGGACACGUGGUAUCCUGUCUGAAUAUGGGGGGACCAUCCUCCAAGGCUAAAUACUCCUGACUGACCGAUAGUGAACCAGUACCGUGAGGGAAAGGCGAAAAGAACCCCGGCGAGGGGAGUGAAAAAGAACCUGAAACCGUGUACGUACAAGCAGUGGGAGCCUCUUUAUGGGGUGACUGCGUACCUUUUGUAUAAUGGGUCAGCGACUUAUAUUCUGUAGCAAGGUUAACCGAAUAGGGGAGCCGAAGGGAAACCGAGUCUUAACUGGGCGUUAAGUUGCAGGGUAUAGACCCGAAACCCGGUGAUCUAGCCAUGGGCAGGUUGAAGGUUGGGUAACACUAACUGGAGGACCGAACCGACUAAUGUUGAAAAAUUAGCGGAUGACUUGUGGCUGGGGGUGAAAGGCCAAUCAAACCGGGAGAUAGCUGGUUCUCCCCGAAAGCUAUUUAGGUAGCGCCUCGUGAAUUCAUCUCCGGGGGUAGAGCACUGUUUCGGCAAGGGGGUCAUCCCGACUUACCAACCCGAUGCAAACUGCGAAUACCGGAGAAUGUUAUCACGGGAGACACACGGCGGGUGCUAACGUCCGUCGUGAAGAGGGAAACAACCCAGACCGCCAGCUAAGGUCCCAAAGUCAUGGUUAAGUGGGAAACGAUGUGGGAAGGCCCAGACAGCCAGGAUGUUGGCUUAGAAGCAGCCAUCAUUUAAAGAAAGCGUAAUAGCUCACUGGUCGAGUCGGCCUGCGCGGAAGAUGUAACGGGGCUAAACCAUGCACCGAAGCUGCGGCAGCGACGCUUAUGCGUUGUUGGGUAGGGGAGCGUUCUGUAAGCCUGUGAAGGUGUGCUGUGAGGCAUGCUGGAGGUAUCAGAAGUGCGAAUGCUGACAUAAGUAACGAUAAAGCGGGUGAAAAGCCCGCUCGCCGGAAGACCAAGGGUUCCUGUCCAACGUUAAUCGGGGCAGGGUGAGUCGACCCCUAAGGCGAGGCCGAAAGGCGUAGUCGAUGGGAAACAGGUUAAUAUUCCUGUACUUGGUGUUACUGCGAAGGGGGGACGGAGAAGGCUAUGUUGGCCGGGCGACGGUUGUCCCGGUUUAAGCGUGUAGGCUGAUUUUCCAGGCAAAUCCGGAAAAUCAAGGCUGAGGCGUGAUGACGAGGCACUACGGUGCUGAAGCAACAAAUGCCCUGCUUCCAGGAAAAGCCUCUAAGCAUCAGGUAACAUCAAAUCGUACCCCAAACCGACACAGGUGGUCAGGUAGAGAAUACCAAGGCGCUUGAGAGAACUCGGGUGAAGGAACUAGGCAAAAUGGUGCCGUAACUUCGGGAGAAGGCACGCUGAUAUGUAGGUGAAGUCCCUCGCGGAUGGAGCUGAAAUCAGUCGAAGAUACCAGCUGGCUGCAACUGUUUAUUAAAAACACAGCACUGUGCAAACACGAAAGUGGACGUAUACGGUGUGACGCCUGCCCGGUGCCGGAAGGUUAAUUGAUGGGGUCAGCGCAAGCGAAGCUCUUGAUCGAAGCCCCGGUAAACGGCGGCCGUAACUAUAACGGUCCUAAGGUAGCGAAAUUCCUUGUCGGGUAAGUUCCGACCUGCACGAAUGGCGUAAUGAUGGCCAGGCUGUCUCCACCCGAGACUCAGUGAAAUUGAACUCGCUGUGAAGAUGCAGUGUACCCGCGGCAAGACGGAAAGACCCCGUGAACCUUUACUAUAGCUUGACACUGAACAUUGAGCCUUGAUGUGUAGGAUAGGUGGGAGGCUUUGAAGUGUGGACGCCAGUCUGCAUGGAGCCGACCUUGAAAUACCACCCUUUAAUGUUUAAUGUUCUAACGUGGACCCGUAAUCCGGGUUGCGGACAGUGUCUGGUGGGUAGUUUGACUGGGGCGGUCUCCUCCUAAAGAGUAACGGAGGAGCACGAAGGUUGGCUAAUCCUGGUCGGACAUCAGGAGGUUAGUGCAAUGGCAUAAGCCAGCUUGACUGCGAGCGUGACGGCGCGAGCAGGUGCGAAAGCAGGUCAUAGUGAUCCGGUGGUUCUGAAUGGAAGGGCCAUCGCUCAACGGAUAAAAGGUACUCCGGGGAUAACAGGCUGAUACCGCCCAAGAGUUCAUAUCGACGGCGGUGUUUGGCACCUCGAUGUCGGCUCAUCACAUCCUGGGGCUGAAGUAGGUCCCAAGGGUAUGGCUGUUCGCCAUUUAAAGUGGUACGCGAGCUGGGUUUAGAACGUCGUGAGACAGUUCGGUCCCUAUCUGCCGUGGGCGCUGGAGAACUGAGGGGGGCUGCUCCUAGUACGAGAGGACCGGAGUGGACGCAUCACUGGUGUUCGGGUUGUCAUGCCAAUGGCACUGCCCGGUAGCUAAAUGCGGAAGAGAUAAGUGCUGAAAGCAUCUAAGCACGAAACUUGCCCCGAGAUGAGUUCUCCCUGACUCCUUGAGAGUCCUGAAGGAACGUUGAAGACGAUGACGUUGAUAGGCCGGGUGUGUAAGCGCAGCGAUGCGUUGAGCUAACCGGUACUAAUGAACCGUGAGGCUUAACCUU
This 2901-nucleotide ribosomal RNA is filed under the name Shigella boydii. RNAcentral's name for it is "bacterial LSU rRNA". It matches the Rfam family "Bacterial large subunit ribosomal RNA". Lineage: Bacteria; Pseudomonadati; Pseudomonadota; Gammaproteobacteria; Enterobacterales; Enterobacteriaceae. The record is from RNAcentral.